Molecule: unclassified non-coding RNA, 334 nt
Filed under: soil metagenome
Description: partial contains 5.8S ribosomal RNA, internal transcribed spacer 2, and large subunit ribosomal RNA
Rfam family: 5.8S ribosomal RNA (bases 1-120)
Source: RNAcentral
GAUGAAGAACGUAGCGAAAUGCGAUAAGUAGUGUGAAUUGCAGAAUUCAGUGAAUCAUCGAAUCUUUGAACGCACAUUGCGCCCCUUGGUAUUCCAUGGGGCAUGCCUGUUCGAGCGUCAUUUGUACCUUCAAGCUUUGCUUGGUGUUGGGUGUUUGUCUCGCCUUUGCGUGUAGACUCGCCUUAAAAUAAUUGGCAGCCGGCGUAUUGAUUUCGGAGCGCAGUACAUCUCGCGCUUUGCACUCAUAACGACAGCGUCCAAAAGUACAUUUUACACUCUUGACCUCGGAUCAGGUAGGGAUACCCGCUGAACUUAAGCAUAUCAAUGCGGAGGA